CUAACUUGGGCAGAUCUAGCUGUAUUUGACUUCACACAAGAGGUUUUAGCCGUUUGGAAACACGAAAAACUUAAUUUUCUAGAAGAAUUCAACAAACAUCACGAAGGAAUCAAAGCUGUUCCGAAAAUCAAGAAAUGGUUGGAAACGAGACCAAAGACAGAACGGUGAAUCCCGAUAUUUUUUACUGACACGUUUAUGUUUUGUGUUUAAUUGUAUGUCUUUGUUUACCAAGCGAACAAAUAAUGCCACCAUUGUGCAUUGAUUUUGUCAUCUGUCAAAAAUCAUUAAAUCAAAAUAAAAUAAAAAUAUAUCGAUCACCACUGGCACUUUUCUCUGUAUUUGUUUCUACAAAAUCUUUGAAAUUUUAAAGUUAAUCAAAUGUUCUUAGGUUAAUUAUGAGUACGUCAAUACCCAAUAACCAACUCAAUCUCCCAUGCAGAGUUAUCGGUCCUUGCUCUCUCUCAAGGACCGAUAACUCCUUACAAUCAUCCAAUACACUAAAUAUAGUUGACCUAUUGUUUGUAGAUUCAAAUAAAACAGACUUAGCCAAG
RNAcentral lists this long non-coding RNA (551 nucleotides) under Mytilus galloprovincialis (Mediterranean mussel). Lineage: Eukaryota; Metazoa; Mollusca; Bivalvia; Mytilida; Mytilidae. The record is from RNAcentral.